GACGAACGCUGGCGGCGUGCUUAACACAUGCAAGUCGAGCGGUAAGGCCCUUUCGGGGGUACACGAGCGGCGAACGGGUGAGUAACACGUGGGUGACCUGCCCUCAGCUCUGGGAUAAGCCUGGGAAACCGGGUCUAAUACCGGAUAUGACUCCAUGACGCAUGUUGUGGGGUGGAAAGCCUUGUGCGGCUGAGGAUGGGCCCGCGGCCUAUCAGCUUGUGGUGGGGGAUGGCCUACCAAGGCGACGACGGGUAGCCGGCCUGAGAGGGCGACCGGCCACACUGGGACUGAGACACGGCCCAGACUCCUACGGGAGGCAGCAGUGGGGAAUCUUGCGCAAUGGGCGAAAGCCUGACGCAGCGACGCCGCGUGAGGGAU
RNAcentral lists this ribosomal RNA (378 nucleotides) under uncultured bacterium. RNAcentral describes it as "bacterial SSU rRNA". It matches the Rfam family "Bacterial small subunit ribosomal RNA", at positions 28 to 409 of the family's 1533-position model. The record is from RNAcentral.